RNAcentral lists this ribosomal RNA (292 nucleotides) under uncultured bacterium. Its description in RNAcentral is "partial 16S ribosomal RNA". The record is from RNAcentral.
GGACUACCAGGGUAUCUAAUCCUGUUCGCUCCCCACGCUUUCGCUCCUCAGCGUCAGUAUCGGUCCAGAGACCCGCCUUCGCCACCGGUGUUCCUCCUGAUAUCUGCGCAUUUCACCGCUACACCAGGAAUUCCAGUCUCCCCUACCGCACUCUAGCUAGCCCGUAUCCACUGCAGGCUCGGGGUUGAGCCCCGAGUUUUCACAGCAGACGUGACAAGCCGCCUACGAGCUCUUUACGCCCAAUAAUUCCGGACAACGCUUGCACCCUACGUAUUACCGCGGCGGCUGGCAC